RNAcentral lists this ribosomal RNA (433 nucleotides) under uncultured bacterium. RNAcentral's name for it is "partial 16S ribosomal RNA". It matches the Rfam family "Bacterial small subunit ribosomal RNA", at positions 29 to 507 of the family's 1533-position model. The record is from RNAcentral.
AGCGAACGCUGGCGGCAGGCCUAACACAUGCAAGUCGAACGAACUCUUCGGAGUUAGUGGCGGACGGGUGGGUAACACGUGGGAACGUGCCUUUUGGUUCGGAAUAACUCAGGGAAACUUGUGCUAAUACCGAAUGUGCCCUUCGGGGGAAAGAUUUAUCGCCAUUAGAGCGGCCCGCGUCUGAUUAGCUAGUUGGUGAGGUAACGGCUCACCAAGGCGACGAUCAGUAGCUGGUCUGAGAGGAUGACCAGCCACACUGGGACUGAGACACGGCCCAGACUCCUACGGGAGGCAGCAGUGGGGAAUCUUGCGCAAUAGGCGAAAGCCUGACGCAGCCAUGCCGCGUGAAUGAUGAAGGUCUUAGGAUUGUAAAAUUCUUUCACCGGGGACGAUAAUGACGGUACCCGGAGAAGAAGCCCCGGCUAACUUCGUG